ACGGGAGGCAGCAGUGGGGAAUUUUGGACAAUGGGCGAAAGCCUGAUCCAGCAAUGCCGCGUGAGUGAAGAAGGCCUUCGGGUUGUAAAGCUCUUUUGUCAGGGAAGAAACGGUCUGGGCUAAUACCCUAGGCUAAUGACGGUACCUGAAGAAUAAGCACCGGCUAACUACGUGCCAGCAGCCGCGGUAAUACGUAGGGUGCGAGCGUUAAUCGGAAUUACUGGGCGUAAAGGGUGCGCAGGCGGUUGUGCAAGACAGAUGUGAAAUCCCCGGGCUUAACCUGGGAAUUGCAUUUGUGACUGCACGGCUAGAGUGUGUCAGAGGGGGGUAGAAUUCCACGUGUAGCAGUGAAAUGCGUAGAGAUGUGGAGGAAUACCGAUGGCGAAGGCAGCCCCCUGGGAUAACACUGACGCUCAUGCACGAAAGCGUGGGGAGCAAACAGGAUUAGAUACCCUGGUAGUCCACGCCCUAAACGAUGUCAACUAGUUGUUGGGUCUUAAUUGACUUGGUAACGCAGCUAACGCGUGAAGUUGACCGCCUGGGGAGUACGGUCGCAAGAUUAAAACUCAAAGGAAUUGACGGAAUCACUAGU
Molecule: ribosomal RNA, 592 nt
Filed under: uncultured bacterium
Lineage: Bacteria
Description: bacterial SSU rRNA
Rfam family: Bacterial small subunit ribosomal RNA
Source: RNAcentral